RNAcentral lists this ribosomal RNA (492 nucleotides) under uncultured bacterium. Its description in RNAcentral is "partial 16S ribosomal RNA". It matches the Rfam family "Bacterial small subunit ribosomal RNA", at positions 29 to 507 of the family's 1533-position model. The record is from RNAcentral.
AGUGGACGCUGGCGGUAGGCCUAACACAUGCAAGUCGAACGGCAGCACAGUAAGAGCUUGCUCUUACGGGUGGCGAGUGGCGGACGGGUGAGGAAUACAUCGGAAUCUACUUUUUCGUGGGGGAUAACGUAGGGAAACUUACGCUAAUACCGCAUACGACCUACGGGUGAAAGCAGGGGAUCUUCGGACCUUGCGCGAUUGAAUGAGCCGAUGUCGGAUUAGCUAGUUGGCGGGGUAAAGGCCCACCAAGGCGACGAUCCGUAGCUGGUCUGAGAGGAUGAGCAGCCACACUGGAACUGAGACACGGUCCAGACUCCUACGGGAGGCAGCAGUGGGGAAUAUUGGACAAUGGGCGCAAGCCUGAUCCAGCCAUACCGCGUGGGUGAAGAAGGCCUUCGGGUUGUAAAGCCCUUUUGUUGGGAAAGAAAAGCAGCAGGUUAAUACCCCGCUGUUCUGACGGUACCCAAAGAAUAAGCACCGGCUAACUUCGUG